This 402-nucleotide ribosomal RNA is filed under the name uncultured bacterium. Its description in RNAcentral is "bacterial SSU rRNA". It matches the Rfam family "Bacterial small subunit ribosomal RNA", at positions 355 to 774 of the family's 1533-position model. The record is from RNAcentral.
UGGGGAAUCUUGCACAAUGGGGGCAACCCUGAUGCAGCGACGCCGCGUGAGCGAUGAAGCCCUUCGGGGCGUAAAGCUCUUUCGACCGGAACGAUAAUGACGGUACCGGGAGAAGAAGCUGCGGCUAACUACGUGCCAGCAGCCGCGGUAAUACGUAGGCAGCAAGCGUUGUUCGGAGUUACUGGGCGUAAAGAGUGCGUAGGCGGUUUUCUAAGUUCGGUGUGGAAUCUCCCGGCUUAACUGGGAGGGUGCGCCGAAGACUGGGAAGCUGGAGUGUGGGAAAGGCAGGCGGAAUUCCUGGUGUAGCGGUGAAAUGCGUAGAUAUCAGGAGGAACACCGGCGGUGUAGACGGCUUGCUAGACCAUGACUGACGCUGAGGCACGAAAGCGUGGGUAGCAAACA